GCGCCCUUAGCUCAGCUGGAUAGAGCAACGGCCUUCUAAGCCGUGGGUCGCAGGUUCAAAUCCUGCAGGGCGUGCCA
This 77-nucleotide transfer RNA is filed under the name Thalassotalea agarivorans. RNAcentral's name for it is "tRNA_Arg_TCT". It matches the Rfam family "tRNA". Rfam says of the family: Transfer RNA (tRNA) molecules are approximately 80 nucleotides in length. Their secondary structure includes four short double-helical elements and three loops (D, anti-codon, and T loops). Further hydrogen bonds mediate the characteristic L-shaped molecular structure. tRNAs have two regions of fundamental functional importance: the anti-codon, which is responsible for specific mRNA codon recognition, and the 3' end, to which the tRNAs corresponding amino acid is attached (by aminoacyl-tRNA synthetases). tRNAs cope with the degeneracy of the genetic code in two manners: having more than one tRNA (with a specific anti-codon) for a particular amino acid; and 'wobble' base-pairing, i.e. permitting non-standard base-pairing at the 3rd anti-codon position. The record is from RNAcentral. RNAcentral also lists the same sequence under 3 other names. Lineage: Bacteria; Pseudomonadati; Pseudomonadota; Gammaproteobacteria; Alteromonadales; Colwelliaceae.